This 548-nucleotide ribosomal RNA is filed under the name uncultured bacterium. RNAcentral's name for it is "partial 16S ribosomal RNA". It matches the Rfam family "Bacterial small subunit ribosomal RNA", at positions 355 to 895 of the family's 1533-position model. The record is from RNAcentral.
UGAGGAAUAUUGCGCAAUGGGCGAAAGCCUGACGCAGCGACGCCGCGUGGAGGAUGAAGGUUUUCGGAUUGUAAACUCCUGUUAAGUGGGAAGAAACGACAAAUAUAAUACAUUUUGUAACUGACGGUACCAUUAAAGAAAGCACCGGCUAACUUCGUGCCAGCAGCCGCGGUAAUACGAGGGGUGCAAGCGUUAUUCGGAAUUAUUGGGCGUAAAGGGUGCGUAGGCGGCGUAUUAAGUCAACUGUUAAAACCUCCAGCCUAACUGGAGAUCAGCAGUAGAUACUGGUAUGCUAGAGGAUGGAAGAGAGAAGUGGAAUUCUUGGAGUAGCGGUGGAAUGCGUAGAUCUCAAGAGGAACACCAAUGGCGAAGGCAGCUUCUUGGUCCAUAUCUGACGCUGAUGCACGAAAGCGUGGGGAGCGAACAGGAUUAGAUACCCUGGUAGUCCACGCCGUAAACGAUGAUCACUAGAUGUUAAUUCUGCUUGCAGAAUUAGUGUCGUAGCUAACGCGAUAAGUGAUCCGCCUGGGGACUACGGUCGCAAGAUU